Molecule: ribosomal RNA, 535 nt
Filed under: Cryptorhynchinae gen. sp. ARC5131
Lineage: Eukaryota; Metazoa; Arthropoda; Insecta; Coleoptera; Curculionidae
Description: partial 16S large subunit ribosomal RNA
Rfam family: Bacterial large subunit ribosomal RNA
Source: RNAcentral
GGCUUUUUGUAAAAAAUUUAAAGUCUGACCUGCUCUAUGAUGAAUUUAAAUGGCCGCAGUAUAUUGACUGUGCGAAGGUAGCAUAAUCAUUAGUUUCUUAAUUAGGAGCUUGCAUGAAGGGUUUGAUGAGAAAUUAGCUGUCUCUAAUUAAUAUAUUUAGAAUUUUAUUUUUAAGUUAAAAAGCUUAAAUGUUUAUAGAAGACGAGAAGACCCUGUAGAGUUUUAUAGUUUAAGUAAUUAAUAAAGUUUAGUAAUUUUUAAUUAAUUAGUUAAAUUAUUUGAUUGGGGUGAUAGAAAAAUUUAAUUAACUUUUUUUUUUUUAUUACAUUUAUUUAUGAGUGUAUGAUCCUGUAUUAUAGAUUAAAAGAAUAAAUUACCUUAGGGAUAACAGCGUAAUUUUUUUUUAGAGUUCAAAUUAAAAGAAAAGAUUGCGACCUCGAUGUUGGAUUAAAGAUGUAAGUUGGUGUAGGUGCUAAUUGAAUAGGUCUGUUCGACCUUUAAAUCUUUACAUGAUCUGAGUUUAAACCGGUGUGAG